AGAAUGCCAUCUCUAGGAUGCCAAUGGGCUGUGUCUACAGUACUAUGUAGGAAAGUGCUGCAAGAGAGAGCCCAUUUUGCCUAAACAAGAACCACGAUUAUGUAAACUUCUUUCUGUCACCUCUCUGAAGACCUGGUUCAUAUCUGCAGCUGCAACUCUAUCCCUGAACUCAUCUUUAAAACUACCCAGAGAUAGACUGUCAAGAACUUUAGAGCUUUACAACAGGAUCUUCCAAGUGCCCUGAGAGGUCAUGAUGGAGCCAAUAGAAAUAAAUCAUACAAAACAAAGCCAGAACCUGGUGGGAGGGAUGCUUACAAAACGACAUAAACAAGAAGUUGUCUGAAAAAAAAUUGUAUGGAAGGAAGAAGAGAUGAGAUAAUGGAAAUGAACUCAUAAUAGCCCCAGUUAAAAUACUUACAGUAAAAUAUCAUUAGUACUACUUGAUGUUGGUGAAAGGCUCUAGACUCAAGUUAGAAGGCCCAAGUCAUUGCUGUGAUUUCUUGAAUAAAUUAUGUAAUUUUGUUGAGAUUAAGUUUUCUUUUCUAUCAUUGGGUAUUAAUAACUUCUCUGUGAUGUCAGAGUU
RNAcentral lists this long non-coding RNA (583 nucleotides) under Pongo abelii (Sumatran orangutan). Its description in RNAcentral is "lincRNA". Lineage: Eukaryota; Metazoa; Chordata; Mammalia; Primates; Hominidae. The record is from RNAcentral.